AUUGAACGCUGGCGGCAUGCUUUACACAUGCAAGUCGAACGGCAGCACGGGGGCAACCCUGGUGGCGAGUGGCGAACGGGUGAGUAAAAUAUCGGAACGUAUCCGGAAAUGGGGGAUAACGUAGCGAAAGUUACGCUAAUACCGCAUAUGCCCUGAGGGGGAAAGCGGGGGAUCGAAAGACCUCGCGUUUUCGGAGCGGCCGAUAUCAGAUUAGGUAGUUGGUGGGGUAAAGGCCUACCAAGCCAACGAUCUGUAGCUGGUCUGAGAGGACGACCAGCCACACUGGGACUGAGACACGGCCCAGACUCCUACGGGAGGCUG
Molecule: ribosomal RNA, 321 nt
Filed under: uncultured Pseudomonadota bacterium
Lineage: Bacteria; Pseudomonadati; Pseudomonadota
Description: bacterial SSU rRNA
Rfam family: Bacterial small subunit ribosomal RNA
Source: RNAcentral